GAUGAACGCUAGCGGCGUGGAUAAGGCAUGCAAGUCAAGGGGGUUGCCUUCGGGCGACAACCGGCGAACGGGUUAGUAACACGUAGAUACAUACCAUUCACACAGGCAUAACUCAUCGAAAGAUGAGCUAAUUCCUGAAGUCCCUCCCUCGGGCGGGUAAAGGUUUCGAGCAAUCGAUUCUGGUGGAUGAGUGGUCUGCGGCUUAUCAGCUUGUUGGUGAGGUAAUGGCUCACCAAGGCAAUGACGGGUAGGGGAUAUGAGAGUGUGUUCCCCAACAAGGGCACUGCGACACGGGCCCUACUCCUACGGGAGGCAGCAGUCGAGAGUAAUUCGCAAUGGGCGAAAGCCUGACGAUGCGACGCCGCGUGCUCGAAGAAGCCCUUCGGGGUGUAAAGAGCUUUUCUGGAGGAAGAACCUUCGGGUGACGGUACUCCAGGAAUAAGGAGAUGCUAAUCACGUGCCAGCAGCAGCGGUAAUACGUGAUCUCCAAGCGUUAUCCGGAUUUAUUGGGCGUAAAGCGUUCGUAGGCGGUUAGAUAAGUCUUUGGUUAAAGCCCCACGGCUUAACUGUGGGAAUGCCAAAGAUACUGUCUGACUAGAGGGCGUUAGAGGCUGAUGGAACGGUCGGUGUAGGGGUGAAAUCCGUUGAUAUCGACCGGAACACUAAAAGCGAAGGCAUUCAGCUGGAGCGACCCUGACGCUGAGGAACGAAAGCGUGGGUAGCGAAUGAGACUAGAUACCUCGGUAGUCCACGCUGUAAACGAUGGACACUAGCUAUUUGAAGUGUCGACCCUUCAAGUGGCGAAGCUAACGCGUUAAGUGUCCCGCCUGGGAAGACGGCCGCAAGGCU
RNAcentral lists this ribosomal RNA (849 nucleotides) under uncultured bacterium. Its description in RNAcentral is "bacterial SSU rRNA". It matches the Rfam family "Bacterial small subunit ribosomal RNA", at positions 28 to 895 of the family's 1533-position model. The record is from RNAcentral.